CACACACACCCAAACACAGAGAAAACAAUUUUUACGUGGUUUGACAAGUUGCCUACUCCACAGGCAGCUGAUUUGUAUUAUGGAGGGUUUACAAUCACUCACCCCAAUCCCAGUGCAUAUCCACCCAAUCCUCACAAUCCCUCAUACUACAUUUUUGCUACACUUUUGAAGCUUUACAGGCAUACAUAUUUUUAGGCAAAGGAGAAGAAGCCAAAAUGAACAAGUAAUCUUCAACUUGGGGGCCAUUGUCAACAAUGGUGGCUUGAGAAAUCAUUUUUGAAUUUGAGACAAUCCAAAAUGAGUUUUGCAGCCACCAAAUAUGUGCUGAACACCUGCAGAUCUCCUACAUUUUGCUUAUAACUGCUCUGUAGGAUUUUAGUUUUUCUUCCUUGAAUAUUGUGAUCAGUUAUCUCUGUGUAUAAAUUGCCACCUAGGCAGUGGUGUUGUAUGGUCAAGUUGAGAAAGCUAGUCAAGACAUGGCUUAUCAUUGGCAGUAGAAAGGAAGAUUCUUGGCUUAUGAUUGGGUGGGGAAGAACAAACCUAAGAUUCUACGCCAUUCAUUCUUGCAUUCUAAGAGAAGUUGUGAAUUAGUUGGCCAAAGUUGACGGUUUGAUGCAUUAUUAACACAUCAUAGCAGGUUACAGUCAAUGUCAUAUCCACGAGGAAGAACAUGAAAAUUUCAAAUUAUGCAAGAUCAGGAGUCUUUUCCUACCACUGAACUAUUGUCAUCCUGGUGCUUUAUAAGCUUCGUCGAAUCUUUCUAAGCCAAGAGAAGUUUGAAGCUGUUGAAACUCUUAACUGGAGACUGUUGGGCAGAGGCCGGGUGGGGCAAGUCCAACAUCCUGUCGGGGAGGAAACCAGGUGGGCCAAGGCUCAGUUAACCCAUUGGCGCUUAGGCUCGCUACGUGGAGUAACGAACUAAACAUGCACCUUCACUAACACAUGCUGGUUUUGCUGAGAUGGUAAGCUCUUGUUCCUAACAGAACUUACAAACUUAGUCAACUUCAUCAUUCUUACUGCAUGAUCACUCUAGCUUCAUAGAUAUAACUUGAAGAGUGGUAUCACAUGUGAGAUAACUAAGUUUUAUUAAUCUUUUCUUCUAUAACUUAGGUACUUGAAAAGUUCUCCUUCUGAGGAUCAUCCACAGUUACACUUUGUUUUCCUCCCAGUUCUUGUAGCACUCAUGUAGUAUACAUCCUGUCAGAUAUCAGAAAGUUGGCCUAGCCACCUGAGUUAUCAUAAAAAUGUAGUAUUCCAGGAAGUUGUCUCAAGGUAAUUAGAUAACUUGAUAUAGGAAACCAAAUUCUGUCAGACUCUCUUACCUUUUACAGUGCUCAGUUCACGAACUUCCCAAAGUUGAACCAGUGUCAUUGGUAAACAAGUAUAAAAUUCAAAACACAUGAAAAUCAGUAAUUCUAUCCAAGCUACCUAGAAUUUUAUUGUUGGACUUAUAAACAGUUCUCCGAGAUUAUAGAUACCAAACUACUUGAGCUCUGGUCGACUAAAACGAAUAUGAGAUUACUGCAAUCGAUAACAAGAAGUCAAGUUUGAAUAAACUUACAUUCUGUCUUUGGUUUCUCAAGCCAAAGCUUAAAUAACCCACUGGUGGCCUGGUUGGCUUGUCUACCUGGUUCACAGCUUUAGUUAAACCUUGGAAGUAUAACAAGACCUAGAAAAGGGCAUAAUGCUUUAUGUUUUCGAAAACUAAGGUGAUUGUGGUAAUCCGGGGGAAAAGUAGGUUCUCUAAAAUCAUUUGGUCUGAUCUUUAAGGUGGGGUUCAGUGAAUAACACACAUGGAUUAUAGACCUUAUAAAUGGAGUUGGCCUAUUUUCUGCAGAACUCCUGUAGUCACUUCCUGGUUUUUUAGCCAAGUAUUUUCCAUCUUUGAAAAAAAGGAACUCCCUAUUAUUUGCCUUCCCCAGAGAUUGUCAUCCUAACUCCUAAGCUUCAUCAAAUCAGUUAACCAAAAAUCAGGUUGAAGUUUAUAAUUUUUUGAAGCUCUUCGACAAAAAGUUUACAUAAUACCUAUUGCAUCAUAAAUAUGACUUGAGAACUAGUAUUGCAUUUCAAAGAUUUUGUAGUAGGCUGAACUUAACAGCUCGGACCCCGCGUCUUACAAGCACAGACCGAGGUUAAAGGUGAGAGAGGUGGCCGUACCAGUCCCCAAGUUCGGCAAUGACUGGAGCAUGAGGAGGGGCCACACCACACUUACCCAACGCCUCAGUUGAGGAGAAAAGUCCUCCGGUUUGGCUACCGUCAGGCUCACUUACUCCGUCGGUGCCAUCCCCCCUUCGAGUCACCUACCAUCGGGUUCGGCCAAGGGAGAGGCUCGGCCAAUUGCAGCACCACAUGCCACCCCACGCGCCGAAGCCGUUAUGCCAAAAGAUAAUGAUGGGCGCACAUGGGGUGCCAGCUCACACAAAAAACGGUUACCAAAUUUUAUCAGUGAUGUCACAAUGACAUCAGCCGACCCGUGCAAGGCACAUGCCCGUACUUGGAGAGCAAGCCAAGCAGGCUCUAUAAAUACCAAAGCAAGACAAUCCGAAAGAGGUACAUACUUCUACACGCUAAAACCCUAGUCUCUUGCUUUUACUCUCUCUCUGCAUAUUCUCAUCCUCUCGCCGGAGGGCCUUGCCGGGCAACCCCGGUUAGGUCUUAGUCGUGCGCUCACUGUGCAGGUUAGGGGAAGAAGGCUAGGCAACACUCGAACCAAUUGAAGAGGAGCUCAGACCAAGGAUCAACGGGCCACACAGAUUUUUUUUCUAAUACAUGAGAGACUUCAUUGAAAGAAUAAAGACUGACGGUACAAGAAGAAAAACCUUCAACAACAAGAUGAGAUAACAAAAAUGGAUAGGCCUUCAAACAAAAUGAAAAACAGAAGGAAGAAACGAGGAUCUAGAAGGCCCAAAAAUACAAAGAAGGAUGGACCAAUUUCCACACAUAAGCAAGUAGUCCUCACACCUCUAAGCAUCGGGACUUUGGUAUGAACAACAAAGAUAAUCCGAUCAAUAUAUAUAACCUAAGAAUGAGGUCGGGAGACGCACGCCUUUGAAGAGUAUUAUUUCUCUCAAUCCAUAUAUGGUAACCAGUAACGGCCAAAACAAGCUUUAUCAAUGUGCUAUGAAAAUAUGUUCCUUUAACAAUUUGCUAACAGCCUAAGUGACAAAUUUUGUUUUAUUUUCUUAUGCUAUGUUUUAGGUAUUUA
Molecule: long non-coding RNA, 3205 nt
Organism: Rhododendron vialii
Lineage: Eukaryota; Viridiplantae; Streptophyta; Magnoliopsida; Ericales; Ericaceae
Exons: 3
Source: RefSeq, a predicted model, not a curated record